This 467-nucleotide ribosomal RNA is filed under the name uncultured bacterium. RNAcentral's name for it is "partial 16S ribosomal RNA". It matches the Rfam family "Bacterial small subunit ribosomal RNA", at positions 28 to 507 of the family's 1533-position model. The record is from RNAcentral.
GAUGAACGCUGGCGGCGUGCCUAACACAUGCAAGUCGAACGAUUAAAGCACGUUCGGGUGUGUCUAACGUGUCGCGCGGCUGUGUAACACGCGUGCGUACUGCCCCCUUCAUUGGGGUAGCAACGGGCAACCGUGGGGCAUAUAGAAUACUUCGUCUCUUCCGCCUGGAUGACUCGUGAAAGCUCCGGCGGUGCGGGAUGGGCCUGCGGCCUGUUAGCUUGUUGGUGGGGUAACGGCCUACCAAGGCAAUGAUGGGUAGCUGGGUUGAGAGGACGACCAGCCAGAUUGGGACUGAGACACGACCCAGACUGCUACGUGAGGCAGCAGUGGGGAGUCUUGCACACGGAGCGAACGCCAGAUGCAGCGACGCCGCGUGCGGGAUGAAGGCCUUCGGGUUGUAAACCACUUUCAGCAGGGACGAGGCGAAAGUGACGGUACCUGCAGAAGAAGCCCCGGCUAACUACGUG